UUGCACUCAAAGCUCGGAACAAGCUAUUCAGAACCAACCCAACCCAACAUUUAAGAGAAAAACGUCCAUCUCAAAGACUAGGUAAUUCUUCACCACUAUUCUUAAAGGAAAAAAGAAAUGAAAAUCACGAACAAUUACCUCGAUUAUUCUACUCAUUGUUGUUUCAAUUAUACUCUUCAUCUUGGUCUACUAUUUGAUUAAGAGAAAGCCAAUCAACACCUGCAAUACUUUCAUUUGUGAAGAUGAUGACAACUUUCUUUUUGUUUGGAGUGUCGGCAAACUCUAUAACAUCUUUUGUUUUGGUAUGUAGAGUUGAGAAUUAUACCUUCAUAUUUUAAACCAUUUCAUCUAGUUCAGUUUAUCUUUAUUCUUCCAAUGUCUUAUUGAAUCUUCUUCUCUAAAGUCUAAAUUUGAGAGAGCGGGUAUCUACUAAAGACAUUUUAACGUUCAAGUCAGUUUUUCAAUUAAACCGAUCGGUUAUCACAAUUAAGUCUUAAAUGUCCAAUAAAUGCAAUGAACUACCUACUUACCUUACCUCUAUAUUUAUAGAUUUUGAAAUGAGUUUUUGAUUAAGGUUGACUCAAUCACAACCCAAUGUCUCCUAAACAUGUUUUUACCUUACUAACCGAAUUGUGAAAUUUUUGAUGUGCAAGGUACCGAACGGUUACCAAUUUGGUUGGUAACCGUUCGGCUAAUAUUGUUUUGGGAUUCCCAUAAUUGACUUUCUAUAUGAUUGACUGGCCGAGUGAUGUAGACCAAUCUAUACGGUACAUCAUCCAUCAUGGUGACAAAGGGCAUGUGCUUGUUCAAACGCCUCUACACCACAAUAUUUUCUUUUCAAGUGCUAUUUUUUUUUUAUUUAAUAGGUAACAUGUUUAUAAAAUAAACAUUAUAUCUUAUGAAAUUUUAUAAUUUUUUUCUCAAAAUGUUUCUUCAAUAUUUCAAGUCUUGAUUUUAGCCGGUUAAAUAUGUAUUUUCCUUAAUAUAUUUGUCAAUUGAUCUUUAAAAUUGUAAUUCUUCAUUUUAUUUCUCUAUUGCUUUUGUGAUUACAUGAUAUUAACUUUGAUAUACUAUGUCUUUUCACAAUGAAAUAAGGUUCUUUGCUAUUGUAAUAACAAACUUGUUAUCAAAUCUUAAAAUAGUUAUUUUCUCUUGGUCGCGGUCAACAUCUGACAAAUGUUUUCAUAGUCAAAUAAAUUGAUUUCUUGUAGUAACUACGGAAAAAUAUUUAACUUCAACAACAUAUUGUUUCUUUGAGUACCAACAAAAGAAUCAAUUUUCAAAUAAAAAUUCAUACAUUGUUCUACUUUUUAUAUUACACGAGCUUCAUGCCCAAUUACUAUUAGAGUAACCUUGAAGAUUUUUAUUAUUCUUCUUCUUCAAUAAAGACCAAGGUCGAUUGAACAUGUGAUAUAGUUCAAGACACUUUUUGUGUACCCAUGUGAACUUGGCUUGAAGAAUGCAUGAAUUUGGAUAACAAGCUUGCGAAAAAAAAUUAAAUCUAGCCUAGUUAUAAAUAGAUAUAACAAAUCUUCAAUCAUAUUUCUAUAACAAAUGCAUCUCAUUUGAUUCCAUUUUUAUCUGGACACAACUUUUGAGUUACCGUAAAUGGAAUGACAACACAUUUGUAAUUUUUCAAAAUCUUAUUCACCUACGUAUUUGGAGAAAUGAAGAUUUCUUCGGAUGAUUUGAUUAUCUUUAUCUUAAGAAAACAUUUCAUUAAGUUAAGGUAAUUCAUUUUAAAUUCUUACUCCAUAUUCAUUAAUGACAGUUUUUCAACGGAUUACCGACAGACCUAACUCUGUUGGUAAUAACGUUGUCGGUAAUAUUUACCGACUAAUUUUUAUGUCCGUCGGUAAUUAUCGAAGGAAAAAUUCGUCAAUAAGUCCGUCGAUAAAUAUCUCGAUCUGGUUCAUCUCCUUCCUCUUUCCCCUUCUUUUGUUUCCUCAGAUUUUAAAUUUUUUUAUCAAACUUUCUUCAUUCCUAAACCAAAACAACAAUCCAAUUCAUUCCAAAACCAAAAUCAAAGACUAAUGAUGUGUGAGUAAAUGUAAUUGCAUUCAUGUCUUAGUUUAGGUCAUUUCCAUGCAUAAUUGCAUUCAUUGAAGGAUUUAGUCAUGGAUUAUCUUUGUUUCGGAUCAUACAUUGGCAUUUUGUGUUUUUUGAUGUAGAUUGGUGAUUCUAAGUGCCUAAACCACAUUUUUGGAAGAAUUGAUGGACAAGAUAGAAAGAUGAAUCCAGAGAGUUCAACAACGCAGCUGGGGAGAAUUCCAUAACCUGUGGAGUUUGCUUCAAAAUGCAGUGACAAAACAGAGAGCUCCACAAGUGAGUUGUGGUUUCUACCACAACCCGUGGAUUCAUGUCAGGAUUUGGCAAGAGGAACAGAAAAGAACACAGGCAGAGUGGGGAAUUUUCCAUGGGC
Molecule: long non-coding RNA, 2422 nt
Filed under: Vigna radiata
Lineage: Eukaryota; Viridiplantae; Streptophyta; Magnoliopsida; Fabales; Fabaceae
Description: long non-coding RNA (VRAD_LNC007056)
Source: RNAcentral